AAGCUGAAAUUUUAUUUUUCCAGGUAUCUUUUGGUAUCAGCUUAGUGAGUCCCACAUUUUAGGAGCUUUUUUUGCUUGCCUCUGACAGUUUCUUCGUAGUCAGGUAUGGCAGAUGAUGUCUGAUGGUUUUAAAAUAAUAAUGAAUGCCAUAAAAUUCUUUGUUUACUUAGUGAUGUGAUCCUGUAUCUUAAUUUCAAAUGAACAAGCAUCCGUAUGGUGUAUGGGAAUAAGUAAGCUGACCCUUGUUCUGUGUUAGCUGUUGCUGGACUGCAGCUGACUCUUCAGGCAAUAGAAGAACCUAGUGGUAGAACAUGAAGUGGUAUGAAACCAUUCCUGAUGGCAAUCAGCUUGUCACGUGUGCCUGAGGGAAAGGGCCGAAAAGUAGCCUGUAAGCAUUUCCACUUCACAGGGUUGAAUUGUGGUUUUACUAUUGUCAGUAUUUGGCUAAUAAUGGGGUAGGAGUUGAACCCAGUUUAUGGGUAUAGUUCACCAAAUUCAGUUCUACUCCACUUCAAGAGAAGCAGCACCAAAUGUAAGCAAAAUGUCUCUUGCUGCAUUAGUAUUUAAACUUUAGUAACAAAACGACUUAGGACUGACAGCAGUAGCCUCGGUCUCAGAGGCAAGCAGAUACUUCUCAAAGCUGCCCUACUGGAAAGUAUAUUGGUCUCUGGUUCUCUUUUUAUUGUACUCUGCUAAACUUACAAUCACAGGACUUAGAAACACCUCCCCAUACACUUUUUAGUACAUCUUUCCAUGAUACAAAAUGGAUCUGUGGACUUGAGAAUGUUCCUUUUGCUCCCAGGUGUGCCAGAAGAGCUCCCAGAUAGAGACAGCCGGAGGUCCCAAGCCCAGCCAGAAUCACCUCCUGCAGCACCUAAUGCUAAAGUACAAAAGUGCAUGCCCAGACCACAUGCUACUUCUGUGAACAGAAGGAUUAGAAUGAAGUUUCAGACUUAAUCCUGGGUUUCCUGCACUGAUUCACUUCACAGUCUUACUCCUGUUUAGUUUCCUGUCUGUUAAAAAGCAUGUUUUUAUUUUCACCUGCUGUCACAACAACAAAAAAAAAAGACACUCACUGUGGUAUUUUGGUUUUUAUUGUUGAUGAACUGUGUAAAGAUUGAUGCCGUUUUUUUCCCCCCAGACUCUUCACAAGCUAGUAAUUAGCUAUGUGGUAUGCAAAUUCAUGCAGAAAACAAAUUGGUUAUGUGUUAAUUAAAACUAAAUGACAGCAAUUUUAUAUUUAGGUUAUUUUAAAGUGCCUAAAUUAUUUUGGAUGUGAAGUCUUAAGUGUUUUUCAAUGCAUGUCUUAGCCCCCUCUUUGUUACAUUCAAACUGUAAUAAAUACAUAUAGUUUCUAAUGUACA
This 1364-nucleotide long non-coding RNA is filed under the name Cyanistes caeruleus (blue tit). RNAcentral describes it as "lncRNA (ENSCCEG00000013711.1)". Lineage: Eukaryota; Metazoa; Chordata; Aves; Passeriformes; Paridae. The record is from RNAcentral.